GGACCGGGACGGACGAACCUCUGGUGUGCCAGUUGUCCUGCCAAGGGCAUGGCUGGUUGGCUACGUUCGGGAGGGAUAACCGCUGAAAGCAUCUAAGCGGGAAGCCUGCUUCGAGAUGAGGACUCCCACCCACUUGAUGGGGUAAGGCUCCCAGUAGACGACUGGGUUGAUAGGCCGGAUCUGGAAGCACGGUAACGUGUGGAGGUGACCGGUACUAAUAGGCCGAGGGCUUGUCCUCAGUUG
This 243-nucleotide ribosomal RNA is filed under the name Streptomyces sp. M7. Its description in RNAcentral is "partial 23S ribosomal RNA". It matches the Rfam family "Bacterial large subunit ribosomal RNA", at positions 2689 to 2925 of the family's 2925-position model. The record is from RNAcentral. Lineage: Bacteria; Bacillati; Actinomycetota; Actinomycetes; Kitasatosporales; Streptomycetaceae.